CCUACGGGUGGCUGCAGUGGGGAAUAUUGCACAAUGGGCGCAAGCCUGAUGCAGCCAUGCCGCGUGUGUGAAGAAGGCCUUCGGGUUGUAAAGCACUUUCAGCGGGGAGGAAGGCGUUAAGGUUAAUAACCUUGGCGAUUGACGUUACCCGCAGAAAAAGCACCGGCUAACUCCGUGCCAGCAGCCGCGGUAAUACGGAGGGUGCAAGCGUUAAUCGGAAUUACUGGGCGUAAAGCGCACGCAGGCGGUCUGUCAAGUCGGAUGUGAAAUCCCCGGGCUCAACCUGGGAACUGCAUUCGAAACUGGCAGGCUAGAGUCUUGUAGAGGGGGGUAGAAUUCCAGGUGUAGCGGUGAAAUGCGUAGAGAUCUGGAGGAAUACCGGUGGCGAAGGCGGCCCCCUGGACAAAGGCUGACGCUCAGGUGCGAAAGCGUGGGGAGCAAACAGGAUUAGAUACCCGAGUAGUC
RNAcentral lists this ribosomal RNA (465 nucleotides) under uncultured Klebsiella sp. Its description in RNAcentral is "bacterial SSU rRNA". It matches the Rfam family "Bacterial small subunit ribosomal RNA", at positions 338 to 795 of the family's 1533-position model. Lineage: Bacteria; Pseudomonadati; Pseudomonadota; Gammaproteobacteria; Enterobacterales; Enterobacteriaceae. The record is from RNAcentral.